GUAGUGACACUCAGAUCCAUAAUUUUCACGGGUUUGAUCAAUCCAACAGCGCCUCCUUAGCUUUGCAGAAUAUAGUGGUUAACACCUCUGACAUGAAUACCUUUCUGGAUUGUCAUCAGUUCAUUUUGGAUGAAGGAUUCAACCAGGGGCUUUCCUUUGGUAAUAGUGAUAGUAAAAAGUUUGGCAGGAGUGCUGAGAUUAUCAACCAGCCCAUCAAUCCCCGUCCUUCUGCUUUCAUGGGACCACAAUGUGCACUCUGGGACUGCACCCGGCCUG
RNAcentral lists this unclassified non-coding RNA (276 nucleotides) under Hevea brasiliensis (rubber tree). The record is from RNAcentral. Lineage: Eukaryota; Viridiplantae; Streptophyta; Magnoliopsida; Malpighiales; Euphorbiaceae.